CCUAGAUCGAGGAAGGAUUUAAGCUGGUGGCAAAGGUUUUUGGGGCCUCUUUUGGACUUCCGUUUUGGAGCAGACACAUCUCUUCCAUGAUGAGUGGCAGCCAGCGGGAAAUGGAGCCAGUAAACUAUGGGAAGGUAUAAUCUUUAAGGAUAUGCUAUACUGAGCAGUGUUUCAAAGUCUACUGAAAAUGAAAUGCCAAAGUAUAUCCAUCUCUGCCCUGCUGAGUUGCCUACCAACAAAUUGUCAAAUAGGCUGAAAUGAUGGAGUCAUCAAUCCCAUUUGGGCAUCCCCCACUUUGAAGACAGGAAUUAAAUUCAACAAACAUUUAUUAGUUCACAAACUGUAAGCAGAGCACCAAGCAUUGUGGGUGCACAAUGAGCUAAUUUCAGAUGACUACGUCUGCCUUAAGCAAAUUGCCUUUCUGAAAAGGACAGAAAAGAGGAGCCAAGAAAAUAAUGAUACACAGCAACAUUUGAGCCAACUAUGAUCCAUCUGUGAGGCAGUUCCUACCUUUCAUCUCAUCGAUGACUUAACAGAGGCAAAGAGCCGCUUACAGGGCAUAGGCAAGGCAAAAGUCUAGAUGAAAACCAACCCUGGAGUCACCCCAGCACACAGGACUGAUUUUGUCCCAGCCAAGGGCAUAGAUGUCAAGUAAUCUUUUGAUGAAUUUAGUAUAUGCCUGUGAUUUUCAGAUAAUGGAUCAUAUUACAGUGGCCCUGUUUUACUCAGGGCAGCAGAGAUAUAUAAUACCUUUCUGCAAAACAGCAGCACAGUGCUUACUCCCUAGAUAAAUGCAUUCACUCACCCAUCCCUACAAGCCAACUCAUGUGUGCAUUCCCUAAUGCAAAAUAAUCCAUCCACAAACAAAUUCACAUACACUACAUAUAUGUCCACCAAGUGAUACAUAUAUACAUAUAUGUAUAUAGAUGCCCCCCAAUCACAUACCAUUUUACCAUAAAUCAGCCCUCAGAAACCUCCUCUAUCUGCCAGCGGCCCUCAUCCACACUACAAGCAUCUUUUAAAUCAGUUUUUAAUCAUAAAAAUCUUGCUUUCCAUCUACUCAUCAAGAAUGAAACUCGUAAUUUUUUAUAGCCUUCUAGAAGAGAAUAAGCAACCGAGAAAGAGAGUGGGAGAAUCUACAAUUAUUUGGUACCCCAUCACAGUCAAAGCAAGCAUUAAAUUGCUCAUAGUUCCAAGUGGGGUAUAAAACCCAGCCACUGGCAUGCUCUUUACCUUCCUAUGACUGUGCAUCCCGAUGGGGCUUAGUAGUCCAUGCCCUUUGGUUUUCCCCUUCCCAGCCCUGCCUCCUUUCCGUUGUUUCAUUUACCAGACGUAGAAUUCAGUGUAAACAGCAUUUAUCUACUUAAGCCCCUAAAUGAGAACAGAGGAACAUUGACAAGUAAUGGGAACCUAAAAGAGCCAGCUGCUCCUCUCAUUCCCUCACGCUCCAUAUUUCCCCUUCCUCGUAGCUCAGGAAAAUGAGAAG
Molecule: non-coding RNA, 1486 nt
Organism: Monodelphis domestica (gray short-tailed opossum)
Lineage: Eukaryota; Metazoa; Chordata; Mammalia; Didelphimorphia; Didelphidae
Source: RefSeq, a predicted model, not a curated record